UUGGCACAUUUUACUCUUCUGGCAGCUGGAGAGAGCUCUGAUCUGUGUCUCUUCAGUGAAUGCUGGUGGUGGUGACAAUAAUGAAUUUCUAAAGGCAAUUAACACAGUGACAGGGUUUAUAAAUUAUAGAUUAUGACAACACUCCCUGCGAUCUGGUUUUUUCCUUUGAAGACCACCUGGCUACCAAUAAUGGUCUCACCAGAAAAAUCCUGUAUUUGUGGGCCAAGACAGAGGAAGAACAACAAUGUAAAAAGCUGGAAAUCUUAGAGCAGACUCACAUCUUAACUAGGAGAAUAAGUGCUGGCUCAAGUGCCCCAGGACUGAAGCAAAUCAGACAUAGGGGAGGGGGGAGAAUGUUAGAAUGAGGCACACCUGAUUCAGCCGCUAAAUGGUCUGGUUGGCUAAGAAUCACAGUCGAGGUAUUUUGCUUUUCUAGUUUUCUUUGGUGAAGAUCUGUGAGCAUCCAAAUGAUGUGAAGAGCAAUAUGGCUAAUCUGCACUACUUCGAAAGCCUGGGAGGAAUACUUCCUCUUUGCUGGAUGUGGCGUCUGCAUGUACCAUCUGGAAUUGCUAUAGCCAA
RNAcentral lists this long non-coding RNA (579 nucleotides) under Pongo abelii (Sumatran orangutan). RNAcentral describes it as "lincRNA". Lineage: Eukaryota; Metazoa; Chordata; Mammalia; Primates; Hominidae. The record is from RNAcentral.